AUUGAACGCUGGCGGCAGGCCUAACACAUGCAAGUCGAGCGGAUGACGGGAGCUUGCUCCUUGAUUCAGCGGUGGACGGGUGAGUAAUGCCUAGGAACCUGCCUGGUAGUGGGGGACAACGUUUCGAAAGGAACGCUAAUACCGCAUACGUCCUACGGGAGAAAGCAGGGGACCUUCGUGCCUUGCGCUCUCAGAUGAGCCUAGGUCGGAGUAGCUAGGUGGUGGGUGAAGGCUCACCAAGGCGACGAUCCGUAACUGGUCUGAGAGGAUGAGCAGUCACACUGGAACUGAGACACGGUCCAGACUCCUACGGGAGGCAGCAGUGGGGAAUAUUGGGCAAUGGGCGAAAGCCUGAUCCAGCCAUGCCGCGUGUGUGAAGAAGGUCUUCGGAUUGUAAAGCACUUUAAGUUGGGAGGAAGGGCAGUAAGUUAAUACCUUGCUGUUUUGACGUUACCGACAGAAUAAGCACCGGCUAACUCUGUGCCAGCAGCCGCCGUAA
This 499-nucleotide ribosomal RNA is filed under the name uncultured bacterium. Its description in RNAcentral is "partial 16S ribosomal RNA". It matches the Rfam family "Bacterial small subunit ribosomal RNA", at positions 30 to 523 of the family's 1533-position model. The record is from RNAcentral.